RNAcentral lists this ribosomal RNA (219 nucleotides) under uncultured bacterium. RNAcentral describes it as "partial 16S ribosomal RNA". It matches the Rfam family "Bacterial small subunit ribosomal RNA", at positions 1284 to 1500 of the family's 1533-position model. The record is from RNAcentral.
AUUCUCAGUUCGGAUUGUAGGCUGAAACUCGCCUACAUGAAGCUGGAGUUACUAGUAAUCGCAGAUCAGAAUGCUGCGGUGAAUGCGUUCCCGGGUCUUGUACACACCGCCCGUCACACCACGGAAGUUGGGGGCGCCCGAAGCCACUUAGCUAACCCUUUUGGGAAGCGAGUGUCGAAGGUGAAAUCAAUAACUGGGGUGAAGUCGUAACAAGGUACC